CCUACGGGAGGCAGCAGUGAGGAAUAUUGCUCAAUGGGCGCGAGCCUGAACCAGCCAAGUCGCGUGAAGGAUGACUGAUCUACGGUUUGUAAACCUCUUUUAUAUGGGAAUAAAGUGAGGAACGUGUUCCUUUUUGUAUGUACUAUAUUAAUAAGGAUCGGCUAACUCCGUGCCAGCAGCCGCGGUAAUACGGAGGAUGCGAGCGUUAUCCGGAUUUAUUGGGUUUAAAGGGCGCGUAGGUGGUUUAUUAAGUCAGUGGUGAACGUUUGUGGCUCAACCGUAACAUUGCAAUUGAUACUGGUAGACUAGAGUAUAGGUGAGGGAGGCGGAAUGCGUGGUGUAGCGGUGAAAUGCGUAGAUAUCACGAAGAACUCCGAUGGUGAAGGCAGGUUACUAAACUAUAACUGACACUGAGGCACGAAGGCGUGGGGAGCAAACAGGAUUAGAUACCCGAGUAGUC
RNAcentral lists this ribosomal RNA (460 nucleotides) under uncultured bacterium. RNAcentral describes it as "partial 16S ribosomal RNA". It matches the Rfam family "Bacterial small subunit ribosomal RNA", at positions 338 to 795 of the family's 1533-position model. The record is from RNAcentral.